RNAcentral lists this ribosomal RNA (253 nucleotides) under uncultured bacterium. Its description in RNAcentral is "partial 16S ribosomal RNA". It matches the Rfam family "Bacterial small subunit ribosomal RNA", at positions 524 to 776 of the family's 1533-position model. The record is from RNAcentral.
UACGAAGGGGGCUAGCGUUGUUCGGAAUUACUGGGCGUAAAGCGCGCGCAGGCGGUCUUCCAAGUCAGUGGUGAAAGCCUGGAGCUCAACUCCAGAACUGCCAUUGAAACUGUUAGACUUGAGUACGAGAGAGGUGAGUGGAAUCCCCAGUGUAGAGGUGAAAUUCGUAGAUAUUGGGAAGAACACCGGUGGCGAAGGCGGCUCACUGGCUCGUAACUGACGCUCAGGCGCGACAGCGUGGGGAUCAAACAGG